CCCUUAGAUGUUCUGGGCCGCACGCGCGCUACACUGUUCGACGCAGCGAGUCUUAACCUUGACCGAAAGGUUUGGGUAAUCUUCAGCAAAGUCGAACGUGAUGGGGAUCGAUCAUUGCAAUUAUUGAUCGUGAACGAGGAAUUCCUAGUAAGUGCAAGUCAUCAGCUUGCGCUGAUUACGUCCCUGCCCUUUGUAUACACCGCCCGUCGCUACUACCGAUUGAAUGGUUUAGUGAGAUCUCUGGAUUGACGCUGGCUAGGGGGCGACCCUUGGCCAGGCUGUCGAGAAACUGCUCAAACUUGAUCAUUUAGAGGAAGUAAAAGUCGUAACA
This 331-nucleotide ribosomal RNA is filed under the name uncultured eukaryote. RNAcentral describes it as "partial 18S ribosomal RNA". It matches the Rfam family "Eukaryotic small subunit ribosomal RNA", at positions 1470 to 1796 of the family's 1831-position model. The record is from RNAcentral.